Molecule: ribosomal RNA, 253 nt
Filed under: uncultured bacterium
Lineage: Bacteria
Description: partial 16S ribosomal RNA
Rfam family: Bacterial small subunit ribosomal RNA
Source: RNAcentral
AACGUAGGGGGCGAGCGUUAUCCGGAAUCACUGGGCGUAAAGGGCAUCUAGGCGGUGUAUUAAGUCCUGCGUGAAAGCUCCUGGCUCAACUGGGAGAGCGCGUGGGAGACUGGUGCGCUAGAGACUCGGAGAGGGGUGUGGAAUUCCCGGUGGAGUGGUGAAAUGCGUUGAGAUCGGGAGGAACACCAGUGGCGAAGGCGGCACCCUGGCCGAGUUCUGACGCUGAAGUGCGACAGCGUGGGGAGCAAACGGG